CACCACCUGCCCAGAUCUGUGUUUCCUGUUUGCAGAACACAGGAAGAUGAAGAGGAAACAGAUGAAGCAGCUUUCACUGCUCUGCCUUGGCCAGGUGCUUCCUAUCAGUGAAGGAUUGAUAGAAUAGCCCUUAGUGUCCUUAUGGCCUGUCAGUGAGAUGGUUAAUGACACUGUGUUGCAACUAUGUUUUCCCAUAUGUGUCAGUUGGAUGAGCUGCUCUUAGUCCAGUUUAAGACCUUGAUGAGAUAUUUUGAGUUCACAAUUGGGUUUUUUUUAUUCUUUUUUUUUUUUU
Non-coding RNA from Pelobates cultripes (western spadefoot toad), 292 nucleotides. Lineage: Eukaryota; Metazoa; Chordata; Amphibia; Anura; Pelobatidae. The record is from the annotation of a GenBank genome assembly.